Molecule: long non-coding RNA, 106 nt
Organism: Juglans microcarpa x Juglans regia
Lineage: Eukaryota; Viridiplantae; Streptophyta; Magnoliopsida; Fagales; Juglandaceae
Exons: 3
Source: RefSeq, a predicted model, not a curated record
CUAUUUGGUUUGUCUCCUCCCAAGCACUCUCUCUGUGCCACUCCAUCCUUGGUUCCCAACCCUAACCCUAACGCGACAGAGCUGUGCAUCAGGACAUUGGAACCAG